Molecule: ribosomal RNA, 652 nt
Filed under: uncultured bacterium
Lineage: Bacteria
Description: bacterial SSU rRNA
Rfam family: Bacterial small subunit ribosomal RNA
Source: RNAcentral
GGGGAAAGCCAGCAAUGCGGGUUUCAGAUGCGGCCCAAAUGGGAAUUAGCUUAGUAGGGGGAGGGUAAAGGCUCACUAGGGCGACGAUCUCUAGCGGGUCUGAGAGGAUGAUCAGCCACAUUGGGACUGAGACACGGCCCAGACUCUUACGGGAGGCAGCAGUAGGGAAUAUUGCACAAUGGGGAAACCCUGAUGCAGCCAUGCCGCGUGUGUGAAGAAGGCCUUCGGGUUGUAAAGCACUUUCGGAGGGGAGGAACAAAUGACGUUACCCUCAGAAGAAGCACCGGCUAACUCCGUGCCAGCAGCCGCGGUAAUACGGAGGGUGCAAGCGUUAAUCGGAAUAACUGGGCGUAAAGGGCAUGCAGGCGGUUAAACAAGUAGGAUGUGAAAUCCCCGGGCUCAACCUGGGAACUGCAUUCUAAACUGUUUAACUAGAGUAUUGCAGGGGGAGACGGAAUUCCAGGUGUAGCGGUGGAAUGCGUAGAUAUCUGGAAGAACACCAAAGGCGAAGGCAGUCUCCUGGGCAAAUACUGACGCUCAGAUGCGAAAGCGUGGGUAGCAAACAGGAUUAGAUACCCUGGUAGUCCACGUCGUAAACGAUGUCAAUUAGGAGCUUGUGCUUAAGUAUGGGUCCGCAGCUAACGCAAUAAAU